This 612-nucleotide long non-coding RNA is filed under the name Zonotrichia albicollis (white-throated sparrow). Its description in RNAcentral is "lncRNA (ENSZALG00000008961.1)". Lineage: Eukaryota; Metazoa; Chordata; Aves; Passeriformes; Passerellidae. The record is from RNAcentral.
ACUGAUAAUAGCCCAAGGAGUCUACUGGAUGCUCGUAUCUGAAAGGAGAACAGAGUGUAAAUGAUCAAUGGUUGUCUCUAUCAAGCUGCAUUUAGUUGGGAUUUUUCCUUUCCAGAUUGUCAUGACUGAAGCUAGUAAAAGUUGAAAGGAGGAUGGAUAUCUGCAAGGAUAAUCAUUAAGAUCUUCUGUGCUACAGACAAGGCCACCACUGCGCCCCUGCCUCCAACUGCUCUGCUGGUACCUAUGGAAAAGGCUCUUUCUCAGUCUCUCCCUGGGAGGAUUACAUCUGCCUGGUUUAAAGUUUCACGUCCAAACAUCAUGACCAAAACCUAAAAGCUUGCUACAGAAAAAAAAGUAUAAAUUUGGGAAAAGAGCCUUCCUUCUCUGGGGAAAAUUAGCCUGGAUCCUAAGAGGAAAGUUAUUUGAGCAAGCUCCAUCUAUGAGACAAGAAGUGCAAACAGGUUGUGGCCUGCCAUGAUGGAACCCCACCAGAAACUCCCCAUGUGAGCAGUCACUGUAAAUGUGUCUUUCUCCACUGCCUUGAGGGAGAUGCCUACAUGCCACCCACAUGUCAUGAGGAAUCAUAACAUCAAGUUUACAUUGAAAGCAGUU